This 855-nucleotide long non-coding RNA is filed under the name Elaeis guineensis (African oil palm). RNAcentral's name for it is "long non-coding RNA (EGUI_LNC012465)". Lineage: Eukaryota; Viridiplantae; Streptophyta; Magnoliopsida; Arecales; Arecaceae. The record is from RNAcentral.
GGGUGGACCUGAAGGAUGGGAGUGCAUCCAAGGGUGAACUUAUUUCUUUGAAAAGUGGCCUAAUGCUAGCUUCUGACCGAAUCCCUCCAAUGAGGCUGAGGUAUGGAUAUCCAGCUGGAGUGUCCUUGCUAUGAGGUUGAGGAGGAGAUCGUGAAGCACACUCUUUUCAGAUAUUUGAGGGUGAUAGCAGUCUGAUCCUUAGCUAGGUUAAAUUUGCAAGUUGCUCAGGUGGAGGACCCUACUCAGAUUUUUUUGGAGUUCUUGUAGCUCAGCAUCGGAGACAACCCGACCAGGUGAUAGGAUUUCAUGUGGCCUACUUGGCUCUUCACAUUUGGCUGACCAAGAACAGCAUGAUUUUCGAUUCUAAGUGAUCUUCGAUGAGGAUUAUUUUUGAGAGAGUCUUGAUUGUGGUAGUGGAGAUCAUCGAUGUGACAGUCAGAUUUUUGAAGAUCUGGAGCUUUAAUCCAUCCUGCUCAUGAAGUGACCCAUCGGUGUUCAUAUCCUGGGAGCCCCAUCAUUGCACUUGAAAGUCAACUUUGAUGGGAGUGUCAGAGGUAGGUAUGGUGGGGUUGGUUUUAUCAUAUGGGGGCUUGGUUCUAUAUUUGUGGUGGUUGGGGGGCACCAUCUCCUAGAAUCCUCAGUCUUGAAGGUGGAGUUCCGUGCUGCCUAGAUAGGGAUCAUCUUUGCCGGACCAAUUUUGAGGGUAACCCAGCUUGUUGUAGAGAGUGAUUCAACCAUAGUGGUAAUGUGACUACUGAGAUGUACUCAUUGCAGGGUCACCCAUCCUCUUUUACAUGAUGUCGCAAGAUUGCUGGGAGCAUGCAUUGCACUGAUCAUCUGACAUGUCUUCUGUGA